Molecule: transfer RNA, 74 nt
Filed under: Caudoviricetes sp.
Lineage: Duplodnaviria; Heunggongvirae; Uroviricota; Caudoviricetes
Description: tRNA-Ile
Rfam family: tRNA
About the family: Transfer RNA (tRNA) molecules are approximately 80 nucleotides in length. Their secondary structure includes four short double-helical elements and three loops (D, anti-codon, and T loops).
Source: RNAcentral
GGACAUGUAGCUCAAUAGGUUAGAGCAGCCUCCUUAUAAGGGGCAGGUUAGGAGUUCGAUUCUCCUUGUGUCCA